UACAUGUGGGGCAAGCGUUGUUCGGAAUUACUGGGCAUAAAGGGCGCGUAGGCGGCUCGCGAGGUCGGGGGUGAAAUCCCGCAGCUUAACUGCGGAAGGGCCUCCGAUACCGGCGGGCUGGAGGAAGGUAGGGGUGCGCGGAACUUCUGGUGGAGCGGUGAAAUGCGUUGAUAUCAGAAGGAACGCCGGCGGCGAAAGCGGCGCACUGGACCUUUUCUGACGCUGAGGCGCGAAAGCUAGGGGAGCAAACGGG
Molecule: ribosomal RNA, 253 nt
Filed under: uncultured bacterium
Lineage: Bacteria
Description: partial 16S ribosomal RNA
Rfam family: Bacterial small subunit ribosomal RNA
Source: RNAcentral